RNAcentral lists this small nucleolar RNA (121 nucleotides) under Chinchilla lanigera (long-tailed chinchilla). Its description in RNAcentral is "Small nucleolar RNA SNORA40 (ENSCLAG00000018616.1)". It matches the Rfam family "Small nucleolar RNA SNORA40". From Rfam's summary of the family: The snoRNA ACA 40 belongs to the H/ACA family of snoRNAs and guides the pseudouridylation of 28S rRNA subunit at position U4565. NB This family has a high threshold value to exclude a large number of closely related sequences that do not appear to have conserved H and ACA boxes, and may be pseudogenes. Lineage: Eukaryota; Metazoa; Chordata; Mammalia; Rodentia; Chinchillidae. The record is from Rfam by way of RNAcentral.
AGCAGUUAUGAGCAUUUUUAACUUGUGGACAAAGAUUUAUAGACAGGUGCAAAAAAUAUAUCCUCUUUUGCAAGCCAGAAUUCACUGAUCAGUAGCUUUGAUGCAGACAAGAAGGACUAUU